UUCAUAACUUUACCACUUCCUAAUCUAGAUUUCCAUUGAUGAAACAUAGCAAAGCAGGCUUUAAACACCAAUCUAUUAAAGUCAAUAAGUAGUCUAAACAUCCAAUGUCUUGGGCUAGAAUCUACAAAUCUCUAAAAUUAGUUGGUUCAGACAUUUCAUCAAAUACUUGUUAGAUGGAGAAAGUCUGAAAUCAAUUUCAAUUGAUCAGAAAGAAAAUAGUAUUGUGAACUCCUAAAACAGAAGGGAAUCAUGCAAAUAUAAACUUAGCUAGCUAAAGAAAAGAGGAA
Molecule: small RNA, 287 nt
Filed under: Arabidopsis thaliana (thale cress)
Lineage: Eukaryota; Viridiplantae; Streptophyta; Magnoliopsida; Brassicales; Brassicaceae
Description: ATSL205570
Source: RNAcentral